RNAcentral lists this ribosomal RNA (372 nucleotides) under uncultured organism. RNAcentral's name for it is "bacterial SSU rRNA". It matches the Rfam family "Bacterial small subunit ribosomal RNA", at positions 526 to 896 of the family's 1533-position model. The record is from RNAcentral.
CGUAGGGGGCUAGCGUUGUCCGGAUUUAUUGGGCGUAAAGAGCGUGUAGGCGGCCAAGUAAGUCCGGUGUGAAAACUCGAGGCUUAACCUCGAGAUGUCAUCGGAAACUAUUUGGCUAGAGUCCGGAAGAGGAGAGUGGAAUUCCUGGUGUAGCGGUGAAAUGCGCAGAUAUCAGGAAGAACACCUAUGGCGAAAGCAGCUCUCUGGGACGGUACUGACGCUGAGACGCGAAAGCGUGGGGAGCGAACAGGAUUAGAUACCCUGGUAGUCCACGCCGUAAACGAUGGGUGCUAGGUGUGGGCGGUGUCGACUCCGUCCGUGCCGAAGCUAACGCAUUAAGCACCCCGCCUGGGGAGUACGGCCGCAAGGCUA